UGAAUGUAAUAAGGGAUUUAUGAUUCUUGCAAAAAUGAAAUAGUUUUCUACCCUCGUGGUAGCGAGUUUUAAAAGGAAAAGGUUUCCGUAUGGAAAACGAUUUUUAAAAGGAUUUUCUGAUUUUUCCUGAAUAUUAGUAUUUCAAAAUGUGUUUCCGGGUAGGAAACAUUUUUAAAUUGAUAGAUGUGAAUUUAUGAAAAUUUAUGAUGAAAUAACUGUGGAUGUGAAUGGUGUAUGAAUAUGUGGAUGUUCAUAUUUGGUGGUUAUAUCUUGUUUUGUGUAUCUUGUAGUUGUGCGACACCGUAAAAAUACAGGGGAUACUCUGUCCGUGUGAACAGUGGACUCUCAUAUUUGUGGCGAAUCUGGCAUACCUUGGGAGGUCAGGAUUUUCAAAUAAAAAAAAAAAAAAUUAGGCACUUCCGCAUUGAAUUUAUAUCGAAAAGGGAUCCCGAGGUGUGACAACGAUACAGCGGGUAGAUAUCGUUAAAGUUAAAAUUUGUAAAGAAUUAAAUAUCAGUUUAGUACAAAAAAUAGUAAAUAUAGUCUACAUUAUAGAUAAAUAUUUUUUAAAAAUAAAAUUAUAAUGAAAAAGAAUUUAAUCGUUUCAACAAAACUAUUCAACAUUGUUCAAGAGAAGUUGUAUAUCAUGCAAAUGGAUAAUUAAGAUUAUUUUUAUAAUACAGUAAUGAAAUGAGAAAAAAAAAGUAGGUCUCACUCUUCUCCAAAUUAAGGGGAUGAGUACAUAUAUGAUUUAAUCAUGAAGAUUAAUGACAUGAGUGAUGUGGUGCUACGGCCACCUUUUAGACUUUUUCGUCAAUGACAGGUCUCUACAUAUAUUUAUACCUUUAGUCUUCUAAUGCUGGUGAUAUAACGCUAAUUUAGGAUUUAUCAAAGCCCAUAUGUCAUUCCCCCGGGGUCCCCUUUCCGGCAAAAGAAUAGCGGAAGUGUCCAAAAUUUUUUUUUUUUUUUGAAAGACUUGACUCAAAGAUGACAAACCUGCCACAAAUAUAGAAAAUCUACUAUUUAAUAACGCCCUAACUUUUCAAGGAGUCACCCAUCCUAGGACUACUUUUGCCCUAACAUAUUUAACUCUUUUAACUUCUUGGGUCUAGCCACCACCCAAACCACUUAAGCCGAGUUAAGAGUUUAGCCCUAUUAUAUCUCAUAUAUAGGACUAUCUGGGAUCUCACACUAUAUAAUAAAUUUAUUAUAUUAAUUUUGUCAAUUUAUCUUAUUUUCUUCUUU
RNAcentral lists this long non-coding RNA (1245 nucleotides) under Ananas comosus (pineapple). Its description in RNAcentral is "long non-coding RNA (ACOM_LNC007048)". The record is from RNAcentral. Lineage: Eukaryota; Viridiplantae; Streptophyta; Magnoliopsida; Poales; Bromeliaceae.